GACGAACGCUGGCGGCGUGCUUAACACAUGCAAGUCGAACGGAAAGGCCCUGCUUUUGUUGGGUUCUCGAGUGGCGAACGGGGGAGUAACACGUGAGUAACCUGCCCUUGACUUUGGGAUAACUUCAGGAAACUGGGGCUCAUAUCGGAUAGGAUCUCCUGCUGCAUGGUGGGGGUUGGAAAGUUUCGGCUGUUGGGGCUGGUCUCGCUGCUUAUCAGCUUGUUGGUGGGGUAGUGGCUUACGAAGGCUUUGACGGGUAGGCGGCCUGAGAGGGUGACCGGCCACCUUGGGACUGAGAUACGGCGCAGACUCCUACGGGAGGCAGCAGUGGGGAAUAUUGCACAAUGGGCGGACGCCUGAUGCAGCAACGCCGCGUGCGGGAUGACGGCCUUCGGGUUGUAAACCGCUUUCGCCUGUGACGAAGCGUGAGUGACGGUAAUGGGUAAAGAAGCCACGGCUAACUACGUG
This 468-nucleotide ribosomal RNA is filed under the name uncultured bacterium. RNAcentral's name for it is "partial 16S ribosomal RNA". It matches the Rfam family "Bacterial small subunit ribosomal RNA", at positions 28 to 507 of the family's 1533-position model. The record is from RNAcentral.